AGAGCCAAGGGCCAGCGCCUGCGCCCUGACCUCCCCACCGCAAACCUGCGGCUGCUGCCCUUCUCCUCCAGCUGACUCAAGAGCAUCCUGGGAGAUAGAGAAUAAUCAAAGGAAAAAAGAGGAGAGAACAGAGCAGAUAUGAAAGUGGAAAAGAAAUAGAAGGGCAAGGAGGAAGAGACAGAAAGAAGGAGGCAGGAGGAGCAAAAGAGAAAAACAGGAGUGUACAGUGUUGGGAAAAAAAAGGUCUGAAAGCACUCAAGGUGAAAUCUAUUACAGGAUGAACCAGAGAAGACCUGAAGUCUGAAUAAUAGUCAGUUAUGACUUUGAACUCUUAAGCACCUACUUCUUGCAUUAUGUGAGUGUGUUUAAAAAUGC
Molecule: long non-coding RNA, 375 nt
Filed under: Apteryx owenii (little spotted kiwi)
Lineage: Eukaryota; Metazoa; Chordata; Aves; Apterygiformes; Apterygidae
Description: lncRNA (ENSAOWG00000004913.1)
Source: RNAcentral